AUAAUGAACCUAGCAGAAGCUUAAAGAUC
This 29-nucleotide small RNA is filed under the name Arabidopsis thaliana (thale cress). RNAcentral's name for it is "ATSL226500". Lineage: Eukaryota; Viridiplantae; Streptophyta; Magnoliopsida; Brassicales; Brassicaceae. The record is from RNAcentral.